UCCUACGGGAGGCAGCAGUGGGGAAUAUUGCACAAUGGGGGAAACCCUGAUGCAGCCAUGCCGCGUGUGUGAAGAAGGCCUUCGGGUUGUAAAGCACUUUCAGCGAGGAGGAAAGGUUGAUACCUAAUACGUGUCAGCUGUGACGUUACUCGCAGAAGAAGCACCGUCCC
RNAcentral lists this ribosomal RNA (170 nucleotides) under uncultured Aeromonas sp. RNAcentral's name for it is "partial 16S ribosomal RNA". It matches the Rfam family "Bacterial small subunit ribosomal RNA", at positions 337 to 499 of the family's 1533-position model. Lineage: Bacteria; Pseudomonadati; Pseudomonadota; Gammaproteobacteria; Aeromonadales; Aeromonadaceae. The record is from RNAcentral.